RNAcentral lists this long non-coding RNA (364 nucleotides) under Chrysemys picta bellii (western painted turtle). Its description in RNAcentral is "lncRNA (ENSCPBG00000014954.1)". The record is from RNAcentral. Lineage: Eukaryota; Metazoa; Chordata; Testudines; Emydidae.
AAUCAGGACUGUAUUUGAAGAGCUCAAGAAAUGGAGAGUAUUUCUUUUUUCCAUUCAGGUGUUUAGGGAUAAAAGAUGCCUUUUCUUAAAAAUGCAGUUUAUGAAUCUGCACAUUAGAAAAGAAAAAUGGUUGUUUAUUAUGUCUGUACGACCCCACAGAGCUGAGAGAAUGAGCUACUUCGUGGUGCAGGUCAUCUGGUGGCAUAAACUGGGAUAUGUUUGUUGAAGAGUUGGGUGGGCCUAGCAAGAUGGCAGCGCAUGUGCAAUAAGUAUUCCCGUGAAGUACCACUGCUAAGGUAAUGUCGUUUCUAUCAGAUUUGUAAGUUACUCUGUUUUCCAUAUAACUAUAUUUUUUUCAUUUGAA